This 465-nucleotide ribosomal RNA is filed under the name uncultured bacterium. RNAcentral describes it as "partial 16S ribosomal RNA". It matches the Rfam family "Bacterial small subunit ribosomal RNA", at positions 28 to 507 of the family's 1533-position model. The record is from RNAcentral.
GAUGAACGCUGGCGGCGUGCUUAACACAUGCAAGUCGAACGGAAAGGCUCCUGCUUGCAGGGGUACUCGAGUGGCGAACGGGUGAGUAACACGUGGGUGAGCUGCCCUUCACUUCGGGAUAAGCCUGGGAAACUGGGUCUAAUACCGGAUAGGACGAUGGUUUGGAUGCCAUUGUGGAGAGUUUUUCGGUGUUGGGUGAGCUCGCGGCCUAUCAGCUUGUUGGUGGGGUAAUGGCCUACCAAGGCGUGGACGGGUAGCCGGCCUGAGAGGGUGGACGGCCACACUGGGACUGAGCUACGGCCCAGCCUCCUACGGUACGCAGCGGUGGGGAAUAUUGCACAGUGGGCGCAAGCCUGAUGCAGCGACGCCGCGUGGGGGAUGACGGCAUUCGGGUUGUAAACUCCUUUCGCUAGAGACGAAGCGAAAGUGACGGUACCUGGAGAAGAAGCACCGGCUAACUCCGUG